GACGGCAUGGCAAGCCAGACGUGAAAUCCCGGGGCUUAACCCCGGGACUGCAUUUGGAACUGUUAGGCUAGAGUGUCGGAGAGGUAAGCGGAAUUCCUAGUGUAGCGGUGAAAUGCGUAGAUAUUAGGAGGAACGCCAGUGGCGAAGGCGGCUUACUGGACGAUGACUGACGUUGAGGCUCGAAAGCGUGGGGAGCAAA
RNAcentral lists this ribosomal RNA (199 nucleotides) under uncultured bacterium. RNAcentral's name for it is "partial 16S ribosomal RNA". It matches the Rfam family "Bacterial small subunit ribosomal RNA", at positions 574 to 772 of the family's 1533-position model. The record is from RNAcentral.